UACAUAGGUCCCGAGCGUUGUUCGGAUUCACUGGGCGUAAAGGGUGCGUAGGUGGUGAGGUAAGUCGGAUGUGAAAGCUCCAAGCUCAACUUGGAAAUGGCAUUGGAAACUACCUUGCUAGAGGGUUUGAGGGGGGACUGGAAUACUUGGUGUAGCAGUGAAAUGCGUAGAUAUCAAGUGGAACACCAGUGGCGAAGGCGAGUCCCUGGAAAACUCCUGACACUGAGGCACGAAAGCUAGGGGAGCAAACAGG
Molecule: ribosomal RNA, 253 nt
Filed under: uncultured bacterium
Lineage: Bacteria
Description: partial 16S ribosomal RNA
Rfam family: Bacterial small subunit ribosomal RNA
Source: RNAcentral